AGGGGGCGGAUGUAGCCAAGUGGUUAAGGCAGUGGAUUGUGAAUCCACCAUGCGCGGU
This 58-nucleotide transfer RNA is filed under the name Rhododendron arboreum. RNAcentral describes it as "partial tRNA-His". It matches the Rfam family "tRNA", at positions 1 to 52 of the family's 71-position model. From Rfam's summary of the family: Transfer RNA (tRNA) molecules are approximately 80 nucleotides in length. Their secondary structure includes four short double-helical elements and three loops (D, anti-codon, and T loops). The record is from RNAcentral. Lineage: Eukaryota; Viridiplantae; Streptophyta; Magnoliopsida; Ericales; Ericaceae. RNAcentral also lists the same sequence under 3 other names.